RNAcentral lists this ribosomal RNA (301 nucleotides) under uncultured bacterium. RNAcentral describes it as "partial 16S ribosomal RNA". It matches the Rfam family "Bacterial small subunit ribosomal RNA", at positions 509 to 808 of the family's 1533-position model. The record is from RNAcentral.
CAGUCGCCGCGAUAAUACGUAGGUCCCGAGCGUUGUCCGGAUUUAUUGGGCGUAAAGCGAGCGCAGGCGGUUAGAUAAGUCUGAAGUUAAAGGCUGUGGCUUAACCAUAGUACGCUUUGGAAACUGUUUAACUUGAGUGCAAGAGGGGAGAGUGGAAUUCCAUGUGUAGCGGUGAAAUGCGUAGAUAUAUGGAGGAACACCGGUGGCGAAAGCGGCUCUCUGGCUUGUAACUGACGCUGAGGCUCGAAAGCGUGGGGAGCAAACAGGAUUAGAUAUCCCAGUAGUCCCUGUCUCUUAUACA